Molecule: small nucleolar RNA, 75 nt
Organism: Salvia miltiorrhiza (redroot sage)
Lineage: Eukaryota; Viridiplantae; Streptophyta; Magnoliopsida; Lamiales; Lamiaceae
Product: small nucleolar RNA snoR117
Exons: 1
Source: RefSeq, a predicted model, not a curated record
GGCCGGUGAUGCAUAGAGAAUUGUCCGUACCAUCUGAUUUCGUUGAUGUAUUAAUCUCACGUAUCUCUGAGGCCU